AGGCGCCGCGGUUGUUGUCGGACGCGGCGACACGGCAAAAGAGGACAUCGCGCACGUCAGAGCCCAUCGACGGAUAGGCAUCCGCGAGACCACGGUCACUGUACAAUACGCCCUCGACGCGGUAGAGCGAAAUAGGUGCGGCUGCGGACGAGGUGACUGAGCGAGCGAGUGCGUUCGCCACAUGAUCUGAUGACGCGCCCGACUGCACCGCACGCCACGCGUCGACCAGAGCCGCGCGAUUGUCCGGCACGGAGAACGGGUUGAGCGCGCUAUCGCGCAUAGGGCGCGCACUCGACGUCAGGUCGAUGCACGGCGCACUGAGCGGCGUCGCAACUACGCGAUCCCCUACGAGCACCAGAACGUCGGGCCGUUCUAGCGCGCACGUCGUCAGCGCGUCCGCCAGGCGGUGCGCUGCGACGGCUCCACCCAGCAGACGGACCACGUUGAACGAGCACGGGUCGCCCGGGAGCGCCGCGGAUGUCUCUGCGAGGGGACUCACGGCGGCCACGGCGUCUUCGGUACACACCACGUCGCCGUCGGCCUCGGUCGGGCGGACCGGCAGCACGUCGCCUAGUGCAAAUGCCACGCGCGCAAAGGCGAUGCCGCCCGAACCAGCACUCACCAUGGUGUGCGGCGACAGCGACCUCAGAGCACCGACAAACUCGGCCACUGUGCCCGCGGUUUGGCGGCGCGCAUCCUCUUUCACCACCGCGCGCACGUUACGAUCGCCCGAGACAGGCAAGGGUGGGACGACCGGCCGUGCGGCCUCUCGGGCCUGAGGCGACGGCUCCCCUGGCAAGUCUGGCGGACACGCGCCAACGUGAUUGAUCACGUCGAGCGCGAUCGUAUCCAAAAAAGACACGAGGGCGCUGUGCGAGACGACACCCGGCGCGCGCUGAUCGAGCCCAUCAUCGCCAUUGUCGACCAUGCCGCUCAGGGCGUCGACGAUCGUGCGCACCACGCGCUGACCAGACGGCGCUUGCCCGUCGCCUCGGGCAAAAGGCAGCGCCUCCAUGGCGGUCACAAAACCAGAGAGCGCCGUGCCGAUGGCGGACGACUUUGGCAGGCCGGCCAUAUUCUCGUGAUGUCUCUCCGCGUACACCUUUCUUCCCCCGAAUAAAAAAGAAAAGAUUCUCUUUGGC
This 1142-nucleotide long non-coding RNA is filed under the name Pandoravirus neocaledonia. RNAcentral describes it as "hypothetical ncRNA". The record is from RNAcentral.